GGCAUUUUGUCGAGGUGCUGCAUGGUUGUCGUCAGCUCGUGCCGUGAGGUGUCGGUUAAGUCCCAUAACGAGCGCAACCCCUAUUGUUAGUUGCCAGCGGGUAAUGCCGGGAUCUCUAACGAAACUGCCGGUGUAAACCGGAGGAAGGUGGGGAUGACGUCAAAUCAGCACGGCCCUUAUGUCCAGGGCUACACACGUGUUACAAUGGCCGAUACAACGGGCAGCCACCUGGUGACAGGGAGCUAAUCCUAAAAGUCGGUCUCAGUUCGGAUCGAAGUCUGCAACCCGACUUCGUGAAGCUGGAUUCGCUAGUAAUCGCAGAUCAGCCAUGCUGCGGUGAAUACGUUCCCGGGCCUU
This 357-nucleotide ribosomal RNA is filed under the name uncultured Sphingobacteriales bacterium. Its description in RNAcentral is "bacterial SSU rRNA". It matches the Rfam family "Bacterial small subunit ribosomal RNA", at positions 1024 to 1382 of the family's 1533-position model. Lineage: Bacteria; Pseudomonadati; Bacteroidota; Sphingobacteriia; Sphingobacteriales. The record is from RNAcentral.